This is a long non-coding RNA of Mobula hypostoma (lesser devil ray), 452 nucleotides long. RefSeq lists it as uncharacterized. The transcript has 3 exons. The record is from RefSeq and is a predicted model, not a curated record. NCBI's taxonomy places the organism in Eukaryota, Metazoa, Chordata, Chondrichthyes, Myliobatiformes, Myliobatidae.
AAUAACAGUGGUUGUUCUUUUUUAGAUGGAUAAGGUGAUUCUAGUAGACCAAUGCUUCUUCAGAUGUUGUUGGAAUUUCACAGUGAAUACAGGCCCACAGUCAUCAGAUGCUCAUUAUAUGACGAGCCAUUCAAUCCUGGAAUCAUUUUCAUGAACCUCCUUUGAACCCUCUCCGGUGUCAGCACAUUAUUCUAAGGGUCUCGGCCGAAACGUCAACACCGGACUCUUCCCCACAGACGCCGCUGCUGGCAACUGGAGAGUGUCUCCUGUCUGCGUCCCUCUGAUUGGCCGCCACAUCUGAUAUGUCUGUGCGUGAUUGGAUGCACAGACCUGUUUAUUUUUGCGACUGCGCUCUCAUGUAGUUCCUUCCUAUUGGGCGCCUGCUCCCGGUCGCUGUGAUUGGCGGACGCAUCUUCAAUAUAGCUGAAGCUGACUGGUUAUUUCUUUCGCUA